RNA transcript from Etheostoma spectabile (orangethroat darter), 11257 nucleotides. It is a transcript of the gene named adhesion G protein-coupled receptor B2, with no coding region annotated. Lineage: Eukaryota; Metazoa; Chordata; Actinopteri; Perciformes; Percidae. The record is from RefSeq and is a predicted model, not a curated record. The transcript is spliced from 36 exons.
GCGCGCAUCCCCAUCGACCGUUUGUGAACCGACUGCAGGGGAGCCAGAUUCCCGACUGCGAGCCGCUGCCUGUGGAUACCUAUCCCAGAUGCCAGAGCAGGCGCGAGCCACAGACACGUUUCACCCUCUGACAGGGAAGAGGAGGAAAUAAGGGCGGUUAACGGAGUAAGACUUAACAUAUAUAUAUCCUUUUUUUCCCCCCCUCCCUCUCUUUCAACCUCUGCUUCAAAUGAAGAGCUUCAUUGGACUUGGAGUACCGGGCAUCAGUAGGAAAAAAACCCGUUAAUCAACUCAGCUCCUGCGGCUGCCUCUCAUUGCAUUGGAAUAUACCAGCUUGCCUAUAUGCGCAAAAAAACAUGGAGAAUAUAUGACGUGGAUUUAUUUUUUGAACAAAAUUGGACAUCUACAAAAGCGACGAUCCUUCUUUUCAUUGUUUUUUUUUUGCCAUUGGCCUUUUUUUUAUUGUUGUUGCGUUCUUCGGUUUGGUUCGUUCGUUUGAUCCACAUGGCUACUUUAUGAUUUGGUCCUUAGCGAUCCUUUCUUAAUUUCCUUUUAUUUAUUUGUUUAUUUUUUACACUUUUUUUUGGUGGGGGUGGGGGGGGUCCGUUUCGGAGGCGCAGAAGUGGCAUGCCUGGCAGAGAACAUUCGUGGGGAGAAGAAUCCGCGCAGCAGCGAGUGUGAAUGAAUGCUAGUCUCCCUCUCCAUCUGAGACGUGCCAUGGAUGGGAAACUUAAUUUGGAUCCACGGAACCGAUCGGGGAAUAGCCGUCGCAUCGAAUAACUACUGCUGACAGCGAUCAGGACGAAUGUCAUAGGAUGAACACUGCUGGUGGGGUGUGUCUGUCUGUGCUGUCCUCUCUCCUGGCUGUGGCUGGGGCCCUGGCUGCCUUGUCUGCCCUCGCUCUAGCUCCUCUCUCUGCCCUGGCGGAGACUGCCCAUGGGCCUGCCGACGGUGUCCCCAGCACCGGGGCAGAGGGGCCCCCCUCACCCCUCUCCUCACCAUGUUCCAGCCUUGUAGCUGGGGUGCUCUAUGGCUCUUUCUCCCUAAGGGAGUUAUUUCCCUCCCGGGCGCCGGGCUGUUCCUGGUCCCUGGAAAACCCUGAUCCCACCAAGUACUCCCUCUACCUCCGCUUCACCCGCCACCCUAUCAUCUGCCGGACACACUCCCCCAUGCUCCUCUCCCUUGACCACCACCUGGCCAAUCAAAGCUGUCCCCUUCACUUACAGACAACUGCUGCCAGGGAUCAGGAAGUCAUUGAUCUUUGUGGCAGCCAAUCCAACUCAGAGGGACCGUACUCCUUCCUACAGUUUGAUAAGAACUUUGUCCAACUAUGUCUGGCGAGACACCCAGCUGCUGAUGAGCCUCAGGUUUCUAAGGAAUUGCUGGAGCUGAGACUAGUAGAGGUGUUACUCAUUAACAAUGAGAACUCCAGUCAGUUUACCUGCGGCGUGCUCUGCCGAUGGUUUGAGGAGUGUUUACGCACAGGUCACAAUGAAGACCAGGAGGUUUCUGACGGAGAUGGCUGUGGGAUGACCCAGACGGGAUGUAUCUGUCCAAACCACAACAUCAUGGCGCCACCUAUUCCGUUGCUCCCAGAGACGCCCCACAGUUUCAGCAAUGGUUCGCUCGUUCCCGAUGACUGCUGCGUCACUGAGCUGCAUUCCAAUGAAGCAAUCGCCAUAGCACCCAGAGAUGUUCGACAAGACCCAUAUGAUGAUGACGAUCUGAAGGUGAAGACCCAGAGACCUCGAUCAGCUGACCAGCCAGGUGUGUUUCAGGCACAAACUGGUGACCCUGCGGCAGAGGAGUGGUCACAGUGGAGUGUGUGUUCUCUCACAUGUGGUCAAGGCUGGCAAGUGAGGACGCGUUCAUGCGUUUCUUCUCCCUAUGGGACGCUGUGCAGCGGAGCCCUGCGGGAAACGCGGAUGUGCAACAACACGGCAUCCUGUCCAGGUGAACCUGGGAUCACAGGCUCAGUGCAUGGGCUGUGGGAGGAGUGGUCGUCAUGGAGUCUUUGCUCUGUGACCUGUGGGCGGGGCUCCAGAACGCGAACCAGGAAGUGUGUGAACGGAGGCGGGGCUUUGGCUUGUGGACGGCCCGAGAGUCAGACCAAACUCUGCAACAUAGCAGUGUGUCCUGUGGAGGGCCAGUGGUUGGAGUGGGGGUCGUGGUCGAGAUGCAGUGUGACGUGCAACGCUGGAACCCAGCAGAGGCAGAGACGCUGCAGCGCGUCGGUGCACGGCUGGGCCGAAUGUAAGGGCCCCCACCAGGAGAGCAGAGAAUGCACCAACCCUUCCUGCAGCGGUGGAGGUAACUGGGGCAACUGGAACCACUGGAGUCUCUGCAGCAAGACGUGUGACUCCGGUUGGCAGCGUCGCUUCAGGAUGUGCGAGGGCACUGGAAUACAGGGCUACCCCUGUGAUGGCUCGGGAGAGGAGGUCCGGUCCUGUAAUGAGAAGAAGUGCCCUGCUCCUCAUGAGAUAUGUAAAGAAGAGCACCUUCUCUCUAUGUCAUGGAAGAGAGCCUCAGCUGGAGAAACGGUCUACAACAAGUGUCCAACUAACGCCACUGGAUCUGCUAGUCGUCGUUGCAUGCUGGACAAUAAUGGAGUUGCUUUCUGGGGUCCUCCGAGCUUCGCCAGAUGCGUCUCACUUGAAUAUAGAUAUUUACAUUUAUCUUUACGAGAGCAUCUCGCGAAGGGUCAGAGGACCCUGGCUGGGGAGGGCAUGUCUCAGAUCGUAAGGACUCUCCUGGAGCUCUUGCAGAGGAGAAGCUACUACAGUGGCGACCUUCUCUUUUCCACGGAGAUCCUGCGAAAUGUGACGGACACCUUCAAAAGAGCAACCUACAUCCCAGCUCCCGACGACGUGCAGAAAUUCUUCCAGAUACUCAGCCUAAUGUUGGACAUGGAAAAUGUAGAGAAAUGGGAGGACGCCCACCAGGUCGCUCCCGGUGCUGCUUUGCUGAUGAGGAUAGUCGAAGACUUCAUUCACCUCAUCGGAGAAGCCCAGAAGCCUUUCCAGAGUUUCCUGGUGGUUACCAACAACCUCAUGAUAACCGUCCAGCGAGAGCCGGUGUCUGCCGUUUCCAGCGAUAUAAACUUCCCCAUGAAGGGUCGGAGAGGGAUGAAGGACUGGGCCAGAACAGCAGAGGACAAGCUCUACAUCCCUAAAGAGGUCUUUACCAUCCCGGCUGAAGAGACAGAGACCGAGUUAGAGUCUCCGAUGUACUAUGUCAUUGGAGCCAUCUUGUACAGGACGUUGGGCGUCAUCCUACCUGCACCGAACCCCCCUGCGGUGAUCAACUCCAAGAUCCUGACGGUGACAGUUCGCCCGGAACCACAACCCAGCAAGCCCAUGGUGGUGGUGGAGCUGUUACCGCUUUUUAAUGGUACAUCAGAUCCACAGUGCGUUGUCUGGGACUAUGGCAACCCGGAAGCUGGCGCAGAAAACUGGGGCACGGAAGGCUGCCAAACAUCCCCGUCAACCGCAGUCCACACCAAAUGCCUGUGCAGCAAGAUAUCCACCUACGCCGUGUUAGCGCAGCAAGCUAAAGACCCGGAAAUGGGUCCAACCAGCAUGCCCUCUGUGCCCCUCAUGGUGGGCUGUGGGGUCUCCUGCACUGCUCUGCUCAUCCUGCUGCUAAUCUACGCUGCCUUCUGGAGGUACAUUCGUUCGGAGAGAUCCAUAAUCUUGGUGAAUUUUUGCCUCUCCAUUUUGGCCUCCAACUUAUUGAUUUUGGUGGGACAAUCUCAAACACUCAGCAAGGGCCUCUGUACUGUGACUGCGGCCUUUCUGCAUUUCUUCUUCUUGGCGUCCUUCUGCUGGGUGCUGACGGAGGCGUGGCAGUCCUAUCUGGCCGUUAUCGGCAAAAUGAGGUCCCGACUCAUUCGCAAGCGUUUUCUGUGCCUCGGCUGGGGUCUUCCAGCCCUAGUUGUAGCAGUGUCAGUGGGUUUCACCAGAGCAAGAGGUUACGGCACCGCCAGCUAUUGCUGGCUGUCCUUGGAGGGCGGUCUGCUUUAUGCCUUUGUUGGGCCUGCUGCUGUCAUUGUAUUGGUGAAUAUGCUCAUUGGAAUCGUGGUGUUUAACAAGCUCAUGUCUCGAGAUGGCAUCUCAGACAAGUCUAAAAAGCAGCGAGCGGGUGUCCCAGCGGAGGCGCGUAGCCGACUGCUCCUGAAAUGCUCCAAGUGUGGCGUGAUCUCGAGCACCGCUCUGUCCAGCUCAACUGCCAGCAGCGCCAUGGCGUCUCUGUGGAGCUCCUGUGUAGUUCUUCCCCUGUUAGCGUUAACCUGGAUGUCAGCAGUGCUAGCUAUAACCGACCGGCGCUCCACACUCUUCCAGGUCCUCUUUGCAGUCUUUGACUCUGUCCAAGGUUUUGUCAUCAUCACCGUCCACUGUGCAAUGCGCCGAGAGGUGCAGGAUGCAGUGCGCUGUAGGAUGGGGGGAUGUAAAGAUGACAGCGAAAACUCCCCAGACUCCUGCAAGAACGGACAGGUGCAGAUCAUGAAGUGUCCAAACGUGAGCUACUGUGGGCAGCAGUGUGGCUCUCUGCGUUACGGCACAUCCGCGUGCCUGUCGGGUUGCCACCCACAGCAGUUCCCCCCGACGGGCUACCCGGCCUGCCAGCAGGGUUGUUACCGCAGUCUGCCCCGCAGCAACCCCGGGCUAGAGCACAGCCACGCUCAUGAGCAUAACCCCAUCCUGAACAAUACCCACAACCACGCUCAUAAUCACGUCCACAACCACAUCGGAAGCCAACCAACGGAUUUUGAGAAGGAUGUGGACUUGGCAUGUCAGACAGAGAGAGGACACCCAUUCAUAUUCAAGGAGGUGAACACCUGUAACCCGGCCACCAUCACUGGGACCCUUUCCCGCAUCUCCCUGGAUGAUGAGGAUGAUCCCAAGCUGUCAGCUCAUCAGGAGGGGGGAGUGGGGGUCAACUUCACCUCCCUCCCCGGGAACAUCCCCCCUCCCAACCUCAUUGUGCAGGUUCCCAAUCUCAGCGGCCUCAAUGAGCUGAGCGAGACGCCUCUAAAAAAGGAGGUAAACGUAGAUCAGCAGAGGCAGCAACGCAGCGGAGCUCCAAUCUACCUGUGCACCGAGAGUGGCCUGGGCUGGGCUCGACCGCCCCCUUCCUCCAACACCUCCCAGGACGGAAGCGUGGGGAGUGGCGGAGGAGGAAGUGGAGGAGGAAGUGGAGGAGGCGGGGAGGGAGACUACAUGGUCUUACCUCGUAGGACGGUCAGUCUGAAGCCUCCAGCGCCCUCCUCCCAGGGAGGAGGGCUGGGACUGGGGGGCGAGGACAAGCCUCUUAACAUCGCAGUGGAGGAUCCUCCCUUCCCCCCGCCUCCCUCACCUCUGACCCUCCACCCAGCUGAGAGCGAGGCGUACCCGGUGGAUUUUGUGCCGUCGAGCGUGGGCGACAUGAACAUCGCCAUGAACCUCAACCGCUCCUAUGGGACAAUCAAAACCAUGCCCCACGGGCACGGCCACAUGAUGGAUCAGGGUGGUCUCGUACACUCCCACGCAGGACACAUGCACUCCCACGGGCAUUCGCUCCAGCUGAAGCCAGGCCAGAGGCCGUCGGUCAGACAGAUUCUGACAGGGGGAACGGCAGUGGAGAGAACCAGGACCCUGCCACGCAACCUGGGCAGCACCAAUGCCAACAGCAACAUCUCAGCAGAAUCCCUAGAGAGGAAAAGAGUACGGUACUCUGAGCUGGACUUUGAGAAAGUGAUGCACACUCGCAAAAGACAUUCUGAGCUGUACCAUGAGCUCAACCACUCGUCCAAGUUCCACACCAUAGACAGGUAUAGCAGGGACCCAGCCAUGUCCACAUUCAAGUUUGAAUGUAGCCAGACUGUCAGCAGAACCAUGGGCAUCCAAGUCAACAAAGGUAAAGUUAACCCACUUACCCACAACCACCUGUCCUCUCCCUUCCUCCCCCUAAGACAGCUUGCCACAUUGCUCACCUGCAUCCAGACACAAUUUCCAUUCCAUGGCACAAAUGAGGAGGAAUCUGAGUGGCAGAGAGUGGGCCUCAUCCACCAACAGUGUAGCAGAGGCUUCUACUUUACAUGCCUGUGCAGCAGCAUCUGUUUCCCCUUCACUUAGUUGUGUCAUGCUUGCAACUUGUACAUUGUGUAGCUUGCCUGAAACUUUAAAUGUUGGGUGAUUCGGCAAGAAUCUUUUAACUUGCGACUGUCACAACUUUAACCAGUGACGGACAUUGUAUUUGGGGUCACAGUAGCUCCAUUUGCCCCUGCUGUGCAUGCAAAAGUAUAAUUUAAAUGUAUUAUUAUUUAAAGUAAAAUAAUAAUUACGUUACCAUACACCUAUGAUUCCUCUUUAAAGGUUUAGGUACAGUAUCAGUGAACAAAAGUCCUUAAUAACAGUUCCAUGCAAACACUGAUGGUGCACAAACUGUGCUUUUAGUGGUUAAUUAUUUGAAUCAUGGUUGAUGCUUUGAAUGCUGAUGGGGCGGAAAUAUAAAGGCACUUAUGGUGAUUGCAACUCACCAGAAACCAGUCUGUCAGCCAAAAAGCCCAUAACAGAUGAAUGAUGAACAGAUGAACCAGUCGCCCAACCCUGACGUCUUUGGCUUUCUGCAUGGGUUUCACAUGACAGAGGAAAUAAAAGAGAGAAGAAGAAUGACGGAAAAAUGACAAGGACAGCAGAGAUGGAAAGAUAAACAAUAUCUAGUGAUAGAUAAACCUAGAUUAGUUUAAUUGAAUGUCUACAUCUAUUUUCAUCAGUUGGGAUACUGAUGGAUACCAGUUGGCAAACUCUUUGAUUUCAUUUCCAAAACAAUGUGGCUGAGGACGAACCCACUUUUUAGUGGUCCAAACGAAUGUGUGUACCUGUACACAUCUCAAAUAUUCGUUUCCCUGGUAAUUAAUAUAUCUAAACUCAAAUUUUACUGGGUCUUUAAAGUAUAAAACUGUGCUAUACUAAUUGCUAAUUUAAACAUGUGGGCUAAGCUAUAAAGCACAUCAACUAUGGCAGUAAAUCAUGACAACCCACGGCACACACACACACACACACACACACACACACACAGUCAAUACAGCCAAUAUUAGCCAAGUGGUUGGAGACACUAAACGGACGUAGUUUCUGCCCAGACUUUAGGCAGACUGAUAUAGAAAGUACAAACUACAUGACACCACUCCUCCCAAUACCAUCGCACCCCCAAACCAAACGUCUCAUGACGCACGCAUAACUGUUCAGAUCUGCCAGCCAGUCAUAACAAUCAGACAGCUUGACCCAAAACUACAAGACUUUUCUGUUUUGGUGCACUGGUGUCGCUGGAAUCAUCAGAAGCUCACACACUAACCAUCCAACUAGGAAAACACCCGAUACUUCAGAACACUUGUACACUUUGGACAAAAAACACCACCCAUACAGAAGCAAACCAUAAGCAGCUUCUAAAAAGAAGAAGAAGAAGAAAAAAAUACAUGAAACUUAAAAAACCCUAUAGAAAACUGCAGUGGUACAGCAGGGGGAAGUAAGGUUUAUGUGUUUAAGCCAGAGGCGGAACAUACAGAGUCAGCAAUGUCCACUUUAUAGCCUGGCUUUAACUAUUUUAUGUGUUGUGUUAACACAUACAGUAUAAAAUCAAUAAUGCAGAUAGUGUAGAUAGCAUUUCUAUGCACUAGAUAACCGGAAUCGUUAUCCACUUUCAACAUUAUUUAGAAAACAUGAGCUCCGAAGCCUCUAGCACUGCACAGCAGAUUCACUGCUUUUAGAAUCAGAUUACUCAACGCCCACAUGCCAUCCUUGCUUUUAUCCCCAUAGUAGUUGUAGUUGCUUAGUGGUGUGUAGCGUGUAGAGUCCUUUAGUCACUCUGCCCUUGCUUUGUCCCUUUCUCUCUAAGCUUUGACAGGUUAGGAUGGUAAAAGCACUGCCUGUUCCAACACGGUUGGAUUAUGUGUGCGUACCUAUGCUCACAUUGCGCUUUUGCUCCCUUGUUUCUGUUCAUGAGUGCGUGUUGCGAGUGUGGUGAGCGGGAUUGAGAGAUGGAGUGAGAGAGAAGGAGUAAGGUGUAAAGCACAAAGCAACAACUGCCUGAUCACCUGCUGAAGGUGUGGGAACAAUGCUAUUGUUUCAGGGCAGAGUUGUCAGUGACUCUGAUUCCCCCACCCCCACCCCUUCUGCUCUCUCGUUCCUUUCCUCUCCCUUGUCACCCCCUUCCUCCUCUUCUCCCUACCAUUUCAUCACCACAGAGGGAAAAGCGAUGGAGCAUUUCGUCUGCCGGAGGUGAAAAGAACUCGUCGAGUGACAAGUCCACCCCGGAGGACCAGAGCUCCUGGGAUAGCUUCAAGAACAUGACCCCCGAGCUGUCCAUCGUGCCUGGGGAGCAGAAGGACCGGAUGGAGCUGCACAAUAAGAACUGGGACUCCUCCUCAGCCAACACGCCUGACUCGUCCGAGGGAGACUUCCAGACUGAAGUGUGAUGACACACUCACAUACACACACGCUCAGUUGGAUACACUCGCGCUCAUUGCCGAGGCAGACUUCUGAAAAGCUAUACAUAAGUACAUGAUUUCUCGCAAAGAUCUCACACACACUGCUCCCCAUCUCCUGCAAUGUGCUCCUGUUGGAUCCCAUACUGUAUUUGUUUACUGCUGCUGAGGACAGACAUGGAAAGAAGACUGUUCUAACCUAUAUUUUCGCAAAGACUAUUGUAAAGAAAGAACAGGGGCUUGACACGUCUGGGACUGAAGACAUUUUUUAAAUGAACUUAAAAGAAACUAUGAAAAACUUAUUUCUGAGAAAAAAAAUGUCUUGAUUUUAUUCUGGAGAAAAAAAAAAUCUCUUUCAGUUGUUUGAUGAUUUGGGGAGGGGGGGAAGAAACAGAAUAUGUCUGCACCGUUGAGUUUUUUUUUUUUUUUAUAGCAAGGGGGAAAAAAAAUUCUCACUGAGGUUUCUCACACUGGUAGCCCCCCCUAGGCACGCUUUCAUUUAUUUCUUUUUUUUCCAUUCUAAUGGAUGAUGGAAGCAUUUGAUCUGUUUUUCCUUUUUGUAUUUAAAGUUUUUUUCUUGUCAUUUUGGACGGAGAGGGGACGGGGGACGGGGGACGGGGGGAAGAGCUGCUCAUUGAAAUGUGCCAUCCUCGCUGCUUUUUUUCAGGUUCCAGUUCAACAAUCCCAUCCAUCCAUUCCUCUCACAGCCUCUGUGUCAACACUGUAUUCCCCCUUAUUUGUGUAUUUUCUAUGGUUUAGUUAAAAAAAAAAAAUGUCCUCCUCUAUGGUUUGAAACUUUUAAUGAAAAAAAUAAUACGAUUGAAACAACUGUUCAAGAAGAAUUGAUUUAUUUUCAGACUGGUUUGAUUUCUGCUUCAGCUGCCUUUUUUUCAUAUUUUUUUCAUUUCCUGUGAGAAUUAACCCAUGUGGAACUUCUUCACAAAAAGAUUCAGGACACACACAGCACAUAAAUGGGAGCUUACUUUCCGAGGUAAUGUGUGCCGCGUGUUAUCCACCCACGAGGGAAAAGGAUAGUGAUCGUCAUGCAGAUUUUGCUUCUCCUUCUUUUCUUUUUUUUUUUUUUCUCCCAGUGCUCGGAGAUAAAAGCCUUUUAAAGAUUGCAGCAUCUGAAUCUAUUUCAGCCAUCACCAAUCACAGUGAAAAAGAGAAUAUCUCAGUCAUUUUCGACCCAAAUGUAAUCUGUGCGAGCUCUGUUUAGCAUCUCAUUCUGCAAAAAAGUACGCUUAUGCCGCAGAGUGAAAUAUCAAUCAGUUUAAUGUCUGCUUGCUCUUUUCCUGUAACUGAGGGAACAUUGUUAGCUUCACAUGACGUGAGGUUUUUCAAGCCAAUGUGUCAAACUAGAUACAACCUGAGCCAAAUAGUCUUCUUUUCCCAACAACCCCAUCAUGGAUUUAAAGAGAAACUUGCCUUCCUUUGCUUUUGUCUUUUCCCUCCUUCUUCUCUUGCUGUCCACCCAGCGUCGUGCUACAAUAAGGCAUGGGAUCUUAAUGUUAGCAGUGAAGCCAGAUGUUUAAUUUCUCCUCAUGGAUCCCAGUCAGUGUGAUUGCAUCCUGCACUUGUGAUCGCAGCAGAAAGAGACAAUAGAAAGACAGAGAGGUUACAAGGCUACAAGGUGGAAACCGGUGAAACAAAAAUAAAAGCCAUUGGCGAUGCCACCUGCAUGACAUUCUAGAUCUAUACUUCUAUCGCUACCAGCAACCAGUUUCCUGUCGUUGCUACGUGAGCACAUCCGACAAACAGACAGGGUCAGAGUCCAGGAUGAAGUCAGUAGAUGGCUCAACAACUUUUCUGUCUCUGUCCAAAGCGGCUCGCAUUAAUCAACAGUUUUUAGAAAGAGAUGAGAGACAAUUUAGGGAGAAAAAAGCAAAUGGUAGCCACGGGUUAAAGAUCCGAAAAAUACAUAACGAGAAAGCUAGAGGCAUGCAAAGCUGCAGAUUAAGAAGGGCGAGUGCUCAAAACAGUAAGUAUCCGGGGAUGGCGAUUUGUCCUGACAUUUUCCAAUUCAGCCCUCAAACCAUCUGUUUUAAGAUCCCUACUGUGGUGCUAGAGCGGCACGGCGCAGAUGGUGAGAUGAGAGCGGCCCUGCUAACCUUUCAAGCUAAUCAGCUGAUAGGGGAACCUACACCCUGCUCGCUCUCAGAGGAGCCAGAUAGGUUCGGCCCCCAGGUUACAGAGCGUAGGUCACAUUCACCUCACCUUCCGUGAGGCUGGGGAUCCCGAUCUACUCUACAGUGUGUCCAAACUUGAAAAAUAAGCCCGUCCGAGAACACACUCCGUCAAUGGGUGUUAAUCUAUAGCAGAGGAAAAGCAGAUUUGACCUUUACACAGACACCCUAGGUUUUUAUUUAUAAAAAGUGAGCAUUCUAGAGAGAAUGCUCAAGAUGAGUUCGCUACAAAGCCUUGUUCCCAUGGUAACUUAGGAAUGGGAUAUGAAGAAAGACAAAGAAAUGUGAAUGUUUGUUUGAUUGGAGCGCGCUAGGAGAUUUUUUUUUUUAUUUACAACUUCAGUUGGUGAGCUUUUCUUUGUUUUAAUCUGAAUGACAGGUUUCACCUCAGUGAGGGCUGGACUUUUAAGUUUCCAUCUUCAGGAACGGUAAGUGAGAUGCUGCUUGAAUGAUUGAGAGUGAGAGUGAGAUGUCUGACCGAUCAACACAACUAAGGAUCAUCUUACAAUUUUACGGUCGUCUUUUCUAUGAUGAGCUCUGGUCAUGAUGCGAAUGCUAACUUAUGAAGUUGAUGGUAAGAGUAUGUUAGGGUGUCAUGUUGUGAUCCUUU